This 443-nucleotide ribosomal RNA is filed under the name uncultured bacterium. Its description in RNAcentral is "partial 16S ribosomal RNA". It matches the Rfam family "Bacterial small subunit ribosomal RNA", at positions 338 to 795 of the family's 1533-position model. The record is from RNAcentral.
CCUACGGGUGGCAGCAGUGGGGGAUAUUGGACAAUGGGGGAAACCCUGAUCCAGCGACGCCGCGUGAGUGAGGAAGUAUUGAGGUAUGUAAAGCUCUAUCAGCAGGGAAGAAAGAAAUGACGGUACCUGAGUAAGAAGCCCCGGCUAACUACGUGCCAGCAGCCGCGGUAAUACGUAGGGGGAAAGCGUUAUCCGGAAUUACUGGGUGUAAAGGGAGCGUAGACGGUAAUGCAAGUCUGGAGUCAAAGGCGGGGGCCCAACCCACGGACUGCUCUGGAAACUGUGUAACUGGAGUGCUGGAGAGGCAGGCGGAAGUCCUAGUGUAGCGGUGAAAUGCGUAGAUAUUAGGAGGAACACCAGUGGCGAAGGCGGCCUGCUGGACUGUAACUGACGUUGAGUCUCGAAUGCGUGGGUAUCGAACAGGAUUAGAUACCCCGGUAGUC